Molecule: ribosomal RNA, 484 nt
Filed under: uncultured bacterium
Lineage: Bacteria
Description: partial 16S ribosomal RNA
Rfam family: Bacterial small subunit ribosomal RNA
Source: RNAcentral
AUUGAACGCUGGCGGCAGGCCUAACACAUGCAAGUCGAGCGGAUGAAGGGAGCUUGCUCCUGGAUUCAGCGGCGGACGGGUGAGUAAUGCCUAGGAAUCUGCCUGGUAGUGGGGGAUAACGUCCGGAAACGGGCGCUAAUACCGCAUACGUCCUGAGGGAGAAAGUGGGGGAUCUUCGGACCUCACGCUAUCAGAUGAGCCUAGGUCGGAUUAGCUAGUUGGUGGGGUAAAGGCCUACCAAGGCGACCAUCCGUAACUGGUCUGAGAGGAGGAUCAGUCACACUGGAACUGAGACACGGUCCAGACUCCUACGGGAGGCAGCAGUGGGGAAUAUUGGACAAUGGGCGAAAGCCUAAUCCAGCCAUGCCGCGUGUGUGAAGAAGGUCUUCGGAUUGUAAAGCACUUUAAGUUGGGAGGAAGGGCAGUAAGUUAAUACCUUGCUGUUUUGACGUUACCAACAGAAUAAGCACCGGCUAACUUCGUG